Molecule: ribosomal RNA, 580 nt
Filed under: Nothopucciniastrum styracinum
Lineage: Eukaryota; Fungi; Basidiomycota; Pucciniomycetes; Pucciniales; Pucciniastraceae
Description: Pucciniastrum styracinum partial large subunit ribosomal RNA
Rfam family: Eukaryotic large subunit ribosomal RNA
Source: RNAcentral
AACUUAAGCAUAUCAAUAAGCGGAGGAAAAGAAACUAACAAGGAUUCCCCUAGUAACGGCGAGUGAAGAGGGAAAAGCCCAAAUUUGUAAUCUGGCUCUUUCAGAGUCCGAGUUGUAAUUUUAAGAACUGUUUUCCGUGCUGGACCAUGUACAAGUCUGUUGAAAAACAGCAUCAUUGAGGGUGAAAAUCCCGUACAUGAUAUGGACUACCAGUGCAAUGUGAUACAGUCUCUAAGAGUCGAGUUGUUUGGGAAUGCAGCUCAAAGUGGGUGGUAAAUUCCAUCUAAGGCUAAAUAUAGGUGAGAGACCGAUAGCAAACAAGUACCGUGAGGGAAAGAUGAAAAGAACUUUGGAAAGAGAGUUAACAGUACGUGAAAUUGUUAAAAGGGAAACAUUUGAAGUUAGACUUGUUAUUGUUGGUUCAACUUCUUUAUUGAGGUGUAUUCCAAUGGUUAACAGACCAGCAUCAAUUUUUGGGUGUUGGAUAAGGGUUUAGGAAAUGUAGCAACCUUGGUUGUGUUAUAGUCCUUUACUUUGAUACAAUGCUUAGGAUUGAGGAACGCAGUAAGCUUUGUAGCAG